RNAcentral lists this ribosomal RNA (1167 nucleotides) under Triticum aestivum (bread wheat). Its description in RNAcentral is "partial small subunit ribosomal RNA". The record is from RNAcentral. Lineage: Eukaryota; Viridiplantae; Streptophyta; Magnoliopsida; Poales; Poaceae.
AUGGCGUCGGCAGACGAAGCGAAUGCGGCGGCCGAAGGUACGGAGGGGAAGAACUGGCAGCGGAAGGGGAAGCACAAGAAGGAGAAGCCGUGGGACGAUGACCCCAACAUCGACCGCUGGACGGUGGAGAAGUUCGACCCCUCCUGGAACGAGGGCGGCCUGCUGGAAGUCAGCUCCUUCUCCACCCUCUUCCCCCAGUACCGAGAGAAGUAUCUGCAGGAGACAUGGCCGAUCGUCAAGGGCGCACUCAAGGAGUUUGGAGUCUCAUGCGAGCUCAAUUUGGUGGAGGGAUCCAUGACGGUUUCCACCACCAGGAAGACCAGGGACCCCUACAUUAUUCUCAAGGCCAGGGACCUGAUAAAGCUCUUGUCGCGAAGUGUCCCUGCACCCCAAGCAAUUAAAGUGCUCAAUGAUGAGAUGAACUGUGAUAUUGUCAAGAUUGGUAGCAUCAUAAGAAACAAGGAAAGAUUUGUCAAAAGGAGAGAACGCCUUUUGGGCCCUAACCUGUCGACCCUUAAGGCUAUAGAGAUUUUGACUGGCUGCUACAUCUUAGUACAGGGAAAUACUGUGGCUGCCAUGGGUUCCUUUAAGGGACUGAAACAGGUCCGGAAGAUUGUAGAGGAUUGCAUAAAGAACAUAAAGCAUCCAGUGUACCACAUUAAGGAACUCCUUAUUAAACGUGAGCUGGCUAAAAAUCCUGCCCUAGCCACUGAAAGUUGGGACAGGUUUCUACCGAACUUUAAGAAAAAGAAUGUCAAGCAAAAGAAGCCCAAUACUAAGGAGAAGAAACAAUACACACCCUUUCCGCCGCCUCAGCAGCCUAGCAAGAUUGAUCUUGAACUGGAGAGUGGUGAGUAUUUCAUGAGUGACAAGAAGAAGUCAGCUAAGAAAUGGCAAGAGAAGCUAGAUAAGCAAUCAGAGAAAUCAGAAGAAAAGAAAAGAAAGAGAGAAGCGGCAUUUGUUCCACCGAAGGAGAACACUGCUGGUCUAUCUGAAUCUGCCAAAAGUACUAAUGCCAACGAGAUUGCUGAUAUCACAAAAUCCUUAAAGAAAAAGGCAAAGAAAUUCAGAAAUAGUGAAGCCGAGGAAAAUGUGAAAAUCGAGUCAUAUGUUGCGAGCAAUGAAGAAUCACACUCCAAAAAGAAGCACAAAUCAUCAUCCAAGUAA